CUAAAAAAAUCUUAUAAACAAAUACUAAUAAAAACAUUUUUACUAUACAACAUUUUUAAUAAUAACAAUUAAAGUACUAAAAAGGAAUAAUAAACAAAUUAAAGUAAUGCUUAACCCAUAUACCUUGUGCAUUAUGGUUUUACAAGAACAAAAUUAAAAAUUUAAUCCCGAAUUCUAUGCGAGCUGCUAUUUACAUAGCUAAGAGCCCACUAUCAGUUGUGGCACCAACUCUAGAAAAUGUACUGGCAGAGGCUACAUACCAUACGCGCUAGAAAAUCUCUGGUUUUCAGUAAAAUUUACAAAUAAGCCAUACAGUAUAUAUUCUGUAAUGUAAAAUUAUAGAGGACAAGCCCUAUAAUUAACAGCUAACUAAUUUAAAUAUACUAAUCACUUAAUAGGCUUAAAACCAGCCAAUAACAAUACCUUACCGUAUUAAUCAAUAACAAAAUAUAUUAAACGUAAUACUGCCAAACUAAGCUGAAAUUUAAGUAAAAUUUUUAAACUUAAAAUAUUAUGUAAAAAUAAGUAUUAAGAUUAAAUUAUAAUACACUAACAACAUCAUAUAACACCUAUACAAAUCUUAUAAGAACUCGGCAAUUAUUA
Molecule: ribosomal RNA, 603 nt
Filed under: Perelia gestroi
Lineage: Eukaryota; Metazoa; Annelida; Clitellata; Crassiclitellata; Lumbricidae
Description: partial 16S ribosomal RNA
Source: RNAcentral